GAUGAACGCUGGCGGCGUGCCUAAUACAUGCAAGUCGAGCGAACAGACGAGGAGUUUGCUCCUCUGACGUUAGCGGCGGACGGGUGAGUAACACGUGGCUAACCUACAUAUAAGACUGGGAUAACUUCGGGAAACCGGAGCCAAUACCGGAUAAUAUAUUGAACCGCAUGGUUCAUUAGUGAAAGACGGAUUUGCUGUCACUUAUAGAUGGAUCCGCGCCGCAUUAGCUAGUUGGUAAGGUAACGGCUUACCAAGGCAACGAUGCGUAGCCGACCUGAGAGGAUGAUCGGCCACACUGGAACUGAGACACGGUCCAGACUCCUACGGGAGGCAGCAGUAGGGAAUCUUCCGCAAUGGGCGAAAGCCUGACGGAGCAACGCCGCGUGAGUGAUGAAGGUCUUCGGAUCGUAAAACUCUUUUAUUAGGGAAGAACAAAUGUGUAAGUAACUAUGCACGUCUUGACGGUACCUAAUCAGAAAGCCACGGCUAACUACGUG
This 497-nucleotide ribosomal RNA is filed under the name uncultured bacterium. Its description in RNAcentral is "partial 16S ribosomal RNA". It matches the Rfam family "Bacterial small subunit ribosomal RNA", at positions 28 to 507 of the family's 1533-position model. The record is from RNAcentral.